CAACGGUGACAUACUUUGAAUGGAAUCUAUGAGUAAGUCCCAAAGCAACCACAGACUGAGAAGCCCAUCCUUUCUCUAUGAACAGGUGGUUAAGCACAACAUGUUGAGGCUUCGAGGACGAAGCUUCGUCAGCAUUCUCCAUACCUAGAACCGUGAGGUGCAGUUGCGAUGGUACUGCUGCUGGCUCCUUGGCGAAGUCUUCCUCGCUGGGGAAUGUCUGGCUGUAAGUCGUCUCUGGUGAUUGUGGAGGCUCGAACUCGGCCACACUCUGUAGAAUAUCAGGCACACUAUCAGAAACAUUGAGAAGAUUAAAG
RNAcentral lists this unclassified non-coding RNA (314 nucleotides) under Hevea brasiliensis (rubber tree). Lineage: Eukaryota; Viridiplantae; Streptophyta; Magnoliopsida; Malpighiales; Euphorbiaceae. The record is from RNAcentral.